Molecule: ribosomal RNA, 556 nt
Filed under: uncultured archaeon
Lineage: Archaea
Description: bacterial SSU rRNA
Rfam family: Archaeal small subunit ribosomal RNA
Source: RNAcentral
CGGGGGCACCAGGCGCGAAAACUUUACAAUGCGGGAAACCGUGAUAAGGGGACACCGAGUGCCAGCAUCAUAUGCUGGCUGUCCAGGUGUGUAAAAUACACCUGUUAGCAAGGGCCGGGCAAGACCGGUGCCAGCCGCCGCGGUAACACCGGCGGCCCGAGUGGUGAUCGUGAUUAUUGGGUCUAAAGGGUCCGUAGCCGGUUUGGUCAGUCCUCCGGGAAAUCUGAUAGCUCAACUAUUAGGCUUUCGGGGGAUACUGCCAGACUUGGAACCGGGAGAGGUAAGAGGUACUACAGGGGUAGGAGUGAAAUCUUGUAAUCCCUGUGGGACCACCUGUGGCGAAGGCGUCUUACCAGAACGGGUUCGACGGUGAGGGACGAAAGCUGGGGGCACGAACCGGAUUAGAUACCCGGGUAGUCCCAGCCGUAAACGAUGCUCGCUAGGUGUCAGACAUGGCGCGACCGUGUCUGGUGCCGCAGGGAAGCCGUGAAGCGAGCCACCUGGGAAGUACGGCCGCAAGGCUGAAACUUAAAGGAAUUGGCGGGGGAGCACAAGG